RNAcentral lists this long non-coding RNA (3249 nucleotides) under Homo sapiens (human). RNAcentral's name for it is "HSALNT0252493". Lineage: Eukaryota; Metazoa; Chordata; Mammalia; Primates; Hominidae. The record is from RNAcentral.
GUUUGCUUCCCGUUCCACCAUAAUUGUAAGUUUCCUUAGGCCUCCACAUCCAGGCUGAACUGUGAGUUAAUAAAACUUCUUUCCUUUGCCCAGUGUCAGGUUCUGUGCUCUGUCUUUCCUCUAGCCCUCAGCUUAAUAGGUUGUGACCAAGGCAAUUCAAGGAAUUGUCCCAGGGGAGGGGAACUGGUGGAAUGAGUACCUGGCAAAAGGAAAGCAGUUGUCAUGACUGGCCAAGACUAAAGGCAACAGAGGAAACUUGAAAUCUGUAAGUGUCAUAAAAAUUGCAAGUACUGUUGACUCAGAUGUACUGAGAGGUUCACAUUAUCACUGCCAACUCUGCUACGUUGCCUACAAAGGAAUCCACACACCAACACUGGUGAAGAUGCAAUGAGAAAGCACAGUCUUUGAAGCAAGAGAGAGCCCUUACGAGAUGCUGAAUCCGCUAGUGCCUUGACAUGGGACUUUCCAACCUUCAAAACUAAAAACUGUCAAGACCAGUGAACACCUAGUGUUACUUGCACCAAGAAUAGUAACCACGGCUCUUGCAGAACUUGAAGGUAUAUUAUUAAAAGCGAUGAUUGUGGAAAUUUCUGUCUUAUUACUGAACACAGAGGAAAACAGUAAGUAUUUUGCAUUUAAGUAUAAUCUUAGUUUUAGAUUUUCAGACACUGUUUAUAGGUCUAAGAAAGUUCUAUUUUAUCUCCGCUUUAUUAAUAAUUUUGGAUAUUAUCAAAUGCAUUUACAACAUCUAUUGAAGGAACCAUUUAAAUUUUUUGUUAAUGUGGUUAAAUAAAUUUAUUGACAUUCAAAUAUUAAGCCAAGCUUGUAUUUCUGAAAUAAAUGAUACUUAUUCAUAUGUAUUAUUUCCAUUUAGGUUAUUGUGUUCCAUUUGUUGAUAAUGUGUUAAGAUUUUACAUCUGUGCUCAUGAGAGUAGCCUUUAAUUUUUUGUUCUUAUAAUGUUCUUACUAGUUUUUGUUGUCAGGGUUAUGUUUGUGUAAUCAAAUAUACUGGGAAGUGUUUUCUUCAUUUUUAUUCUCAAGAAUACUGUACAUAAGAUUUAUAUUAUUUCUUCUUUAAAUGUUGGCAGGAAUUCACCAGUUAAAGCUCCUGGGCCUAGACUAUGUGUCUGUGUGUGUGUGUGUGUGUGUGUGUGUGUGUGUGUGUGUGCGCGCGCGGUAUAUGUAAGUUCUUUAAUUAUAAUUAUCUUUUAUUUCUUAUGUUAUUUCUGUGUUUUCAAAUGUUUUUCUCAUUUUGUUAAAUUUUUAAAUAUAUUGAUACAAAAUUGUUAAUGAGAUACUCAUGCAAUGUUUUGUAUGUCUGUGUGGUUUGUAGUGAUAUCCCUUCUUUUCAUUCCUGAUGCUUAAAAAUUUUGGUUUAUUUAUUUCCUUCUUGAUUUAUCUUGCUAAUCGUUUAUCAGUUUUAUUUCUAUUCUUAAAAUGCCAUUUAUUUUUCUUUCUAAAUUUUUUCAGUUGUGUCUGCCUUCUCUCUCAUUUGUUUCUUUGUUUCUUACAUUUUCCUUUAUUUCUUCCAUUGUGGGGCUUAUUAUUUUCUUUACGUGACUUCCUAUAAAUAAGUUCUUAUGUCAUUGACUUUUUAUUGUUUUAUAUGUUCCAACGUACAUACGUAUGAUUAUAAGUCUGGCUUUCAGCAGUGCCAUAACUGAAAUCUACAAGUUAUGAUAUACUUUUUAUUUUCAUUCCAUUUAAAAUAUAUUCUCACAUUUACUGUAAGUUCUUAUUUGAUUUAUGUGUUAUUAAAGACAUAUUUGUUGCUUUUUAUACAAACAUUUGAGAUUUCCAGAUUAGUUAUUAAUUUCCACUAUAAUUUUAUUGUGGUCAUAGAAUAUACUUUGUAUGUCCUUUGAAAUUUAUUAAAAUCUGUUUCCAGAGAAAAAUGUCUAUCCACAUGCAAAAGAAUAAAAUUGCAUCUUUAUCUAGCACCCUAAACAAAAAUCAACUCACGCUGCAUUAAACACUUAAACAGAAGACCCAAAAUCAUGAAACUCCUGAGAAAAAACUUAGGAGAAAAGCUCUUGAUGUGAACUUUGAGAGCAAAGGAUGAUAAAGUUUUAGGCCUCUGUAACUGAAGGGUUAGUAUUGGCAUUAUAGGACACGGGGAAACAAUUGGUAGAGCACAACUGGAAGAGAACGUUAGAAUUUUAGUUUUAGACAUGUUAAGUUAAGUAACCUGACUAGACCUAAGAACCAGCACCCCAAUGCCUAUCAUGCUUGUCAUUCUCUUCCUUUUUCUUCACAUUUUUUAAGGAAUCUUCUGCUGAGAUGAACUUUUAAAUACUUACAAUCAAAUUAUACAUAGAGCUUCACUGGGAAAAGCUAAAAUUGGAUAUAAUAUACCAAUGAAAGGCACAGCUGAUAUGAUUUUCUUAACCAUGCAGUUACAGCAUGCUAUGUAAUAACUGAGACCAAUGGAAUACAUUUUUCUUCCUUAAAAUUCUUGCUGAUAUGCUCUUCAUGUAAGAAAUAGUUUAGCUAACAUAACAUUUAAGGGUGAACACAAGUAACUAAUAAUUCUUUUUAGUUGUAAUAGAUGGUUUAAAGUAAUCAACAGAUGUUUUAUCUCAAUGAUGAUUUGCCAGGUGUAAUUUUCUUUAUUUAAAUACAUUCAGCAAAACAAAGGAGAAAUCAUGAUAGUCAUCUAAUUUUUAUUUUUGACUAUUCUUCAACUUUGAAAUAUUUGCCUAGAACGCAUUGUAUUUCUCAAGAGCAAUAUAAAUAUCAUAAGUACCAUCACUUAGUGCUACAUAAAUUGAGCAAAUUAUUUAGCAAUCCUGAAGUUCUAUAUCUCUCUUUCUCUAUUGCAUAUGUCAGUGAUCCUGUAGCCCUGGUUUCAAACUGCCGAUUCACAGACCAAAUGUCUCUCUGAGGACACUGUCAUCUGUCUCACUGGUAGAGUGAGAAAAAAUGUGAAAAUAUCAUGACUUUUCUACAUAAGUUAAAUGCAUCCAUUAUUUUGUAAUAACAUUUCUACUUUUUGGAAGUCAAUCUGUUGAUAGUAGAUGAUAAAUGAUAGCUAUUGCUUCUGUUUGUUUUCCAAGUAUAUAUUUGUCAAAAUAAAACUCAUAUAUUGGUUCCUAUUUUAAGUAUUUUUGUCUUCUUGUUUAAAUGUUACUACUUGUGAAAUACAAAAAUUCUAGAGGCAAUAAUCUACCUAAUAAUGUCCAAACAUUAUAAUUGUUUUAAAAGACCCUUCAUUUUGUCCUAUUCCUAUAUCUCCCCACUUAAUUUCCA